This 253-nucleotide ribosomal RNA is filed under the name uncultured bacterium. RNAcentral's name for it is "partial 16S ribosomal RNA". It matches the Rfam family "Bacterial small subunit ribosomal RNA", at positions 524 to 776 of the family's 1533-position model. The record is from RNAcentral.
GACGUAGGGCGCGAGCGUUGUCCGGAUUUAUUGGGCGUAAAGAGCUCGUAGGCGGCUUGUCGCGUCGACCGUGAAAACUCGCAGCUCAACUGCGAGCCUGCGGUCGAUACGGGCAGGCUAGAGUUCGGUAGGGGAGACUGGAAUUCCUGGUGUAGCGGUGAAAUGCGCAGAUAUCAGGAGGAACACCGAUGGCGAAGGCAGGUCUCUGGGCAUUACCUGACGCUGAGGAGCGAAAGUGUGGGGAGCGAACAGG